Molecule: non-coding RNA, 516 nt
Organism: Balaenoptera ricei (Rice's whale)
Lineage: Eukaryota; Metazoa; Chordata; Mammalia; Artiodactyla; Balaenopteridae
Source: the annotation of a RefSeq genome assembly
AUGAAUCAGCUGUGGUUCUUCCUCUCUCUGCUGUCAGCUCCCAGAGGUGUCCUGUCCCAGGUGCAGCUUCUGGAGUCAGGACCCAGCCUGGUGAAGGCCUCACACACCCUCUCCCUCACCUGCACUCUCUCUGGUUUCUCAUUAACCAGCUAUGGUGUAACCUGGGCCCGCCAGCCUCCAGGAAAGGGGCGAUGUGUCCUGUCUGACCUGACACUGCAGGAGUCUGGCCCAGGACUGGUGAAGCCCUCACAGACCCUGUCCCUCACCUGUGCUGUCUCCGGGGGCUCUGUAACCAGCAGUUACUACUGGAAGUGGAUCUGCCCGCGCCCUGGGAAAGGGUUGGAGUGGAUGGAGUACUGGACAGGAAGUACAAGCUACAACCCUGCUUUCCAAGGCCGAAUCUCCAUCACUGCUGACACGUCCAAGAACCAGUUCUCCCUGCAGCUGAGUUCUCUGACCACCGAGGACACAGCUGUGUAUUACUGUGCAAGAGACAGUGAGAGGAAGUCAGUGUGA